UAGGUUUUGCCCUAGCUCGCUAGCCGCUCCCAUCCCAGAUCUGAAAUCAAUUUCUCAUCCUCUUCUUUCUUCUUGCUUCUCGAUCUCGACUCUCGCUCACUUACUGAACUGUCGACUGUCGUCUCCGGGCUCCGGCAUCCGUGGCUCCGCCUCUCUCCGUUACAUCCUCUCCGGCCUCCGCCUCCGGCCUCUCUCCGUCUCAAUCUCUGCUCCAGCCUCUGCUGGUUAGUGGCUUCCCCUCCUUUCUCGACUGGAUUAGUAUCUAGUUUGGUAUUUCACCACUUGUUUGCUAGGUGGGUUAUUAUUGAGGAUGGUUUUUUGCUCAUUUUGUGGUUAUAUACAGUUUUUUUGCUAUGAGAUUAAUCUAAUUCUGCCAUUUUUUAAAAUAGAAAUUUAAUUAUGUCAUGACUCGAUAUAUAAGUUAUGUUCAUCCCUAAUUAUGGAAUAUGGAUCACAACUUAUUCCUCCUCCUGUCCCUUCAAUGUGUAAAAUUAUGGUUCUGCUGUAUAUGAGAUGAGCUCCACUCAAGUUCUGUUUACUUUCUAGAUACUGUAAUCACUUGCUCCACUUCGGAUGGUUGAUUUUGUAAAGCUUAUAUAAGCAAUGUUUUUCCAAAAAAUUAAGUUAUUGAAAUUGCAUAGAUUGGGAUCAUCUCUAGAAGACAUUGUGGAAUGUAUAUUUUCCAUUUUCUGUGUAACAUAUAUUUUUAGUAGAUUAUAUAUCUAGAUCUCUCCUUUCCAGUGAAUGUUGAAAGAUACAUGAACUUAAUUAGUGAUGGUCUUCUUGAUAGAGUGUGUUCCUGAUUGCCUUUUAUGUGUUAGUAUCUUGUUUGAACUUUGAGGGUCAUUAGCCCAGCACUGUUAUUAUCUGCUGGAAAGCACACUUAUUGUUGUUCUCAUUUAGAAUUUGCUUGAAAUAGGUAUUGGAUUCAUCACUGUCUCCAUUAGUCAGUCUUGUAUGAUCAAUACUAGUAAAGUUACAAAUUAAACAUAAAGAUAUAUAGUAGUAAGUUACUAAAACAUAAAUACUUGUUUUGCUCUUCCAAGUGAAUUUGUUCCUCAAAAUAUUAUUUCUAUCCACCAUUAAUUUUGUAUACAUUUCAGUUCCUCAAAUAUGAAUCUGUAGAUUCUGUACAUUUGAAACACCAAUAUCAUGUUUUUUUCUCUUGAUGAAUCCUAUCAUACUUGUUAUUUUUAAGUCCUUAUCCACUAGAAUAUCAUGUUUUUUCUGUUGAUGAAUCUUUUUUACCUGCCUUUUUAUUUCAAUUUCAUAUAUUAGUUGGCAUUCAUUCAUAAUUUUCUGUUACUGCAAAAUAUAAAAUGUGCUGACCCAAUCUAGCAUGGCCCCUUUUUCUGUUACAUAUUGUGUUCUUUAGUUGUGUUUUUCUGCAGUUAGUGAUGUGGUGUAGUUGUCAUACCUUUUAAGUUUCAAUGAUAAACCAACUGUGUCUGUGUUAAUGACAGUUGAUGUCUGCUGAAGUGCUGGUCUGCUGCUGUCUACUGGUAAUCUGGUAUGCUGCUAGUUGUUGCUAGUUGCUGCUGCCUGCCUGCUACUCUGUCUCUGCUAGUAGAUUAAUUUCAUUUUGACUUGUUGUUGCUUUGUUAAGUCAUAAAUUUGUUAAGUAGAUUAAUUUCAUUUUGUCUGCCGGACUGGACAGUUAAUUUUUGUUGGCUUGUUGUUGCUGACUUGCUGUAUUUUGGACAGUUAAUUUGGCUUGCUUUGUUAAGUCAUAAAUUUCAUGUUGGCUUGUUGUUGCUGCUGGACAAUUAAGUUAAUAGUUGGCAAUUACUGGACAGUUGAUUUGUUAAACAGGUAACAGGUUAUGUUGGAUGAUAUUUCGGUUAGUACCAGAAUAUCCGAAAUUACAAUUCUGUAAUUCGGUUAUUUUCAAAUUUCGGUUAAC
RNAcentral lists this long non-coding RNA (1903 nucleotides) under Panax ginseng (ginseng). RNAcentral's name for it is "long non-coding RNA (PGIN_LNC009590)". Lineage: Eukaryota; Viridiplantae; Streptophyta; Magnoliopsida; Apiales; Araliaceae. The record is from RNAcentral.